Molecule: ribosomal RNA, 849 nt
Filed under: uncultured eukaryote
Lineage: Eukaryota
Description: bacterial SSU rRNA
Rfam family: Eukaryotic small subunit ribosomal RNA
Source: RNAcentral
UCCAGCUCCAAUAGCGUAUAUUAAAGUUGUUGCGGUAAAAAAGCUCGUAGGUGGAUUUCUGUUGAGGAAGGCCGGUCCAUACCAUGUAUGCGCAUCUGGUUCCUCCUCGGCAUCCUCUCGAGAAACGUUUUUGCGCUUGAUUGCGUGAUGCGGGUUUCGGGACUUUUACUUUGAGGAAAUUAGAGUGUUCACGGCAGGCUAUCGCCAGAAUACAUUAGCAUGGAAUAAUAAGAUAGGAUUCCGGUUCUAUUUUGUUGGUUUCUAGACCUGGAAUAAUGAUUAAUAGGGACAAUUGGGGGCAUCCCUACUAAGGCGUCAGAGGUGGGAUUCUUGGAUUGCCUUAUGAGGAACUACUGCGAAAGCAUUUGCCAAGGGUGUUUUCAUUACUCAAGAACGAAGGCUAAAGGAUCGAAGAUGAUUAGAUACCAUCGUAGUUUUAGCAGUAAACUAUGCCAACUAGCAAUGAGGGAUCGAUAUUUCUCGUCCUCCCUCGCGGCUUAUGAGAUAUCACAAGUUUUUGGGUUCCGGGGGGAGUACGGUUGCAAAAUUGAAACUUAAAGGAAUUGACGGAAGGGCACCACCAGGAGUGGAGCCUGCGGCUUAAUUUGACUCAACACGGGGAAACUCACCAGGUCCAGACAUAAUAAGGAUUGACAGAUUGAUAGCUCUUUCUUGAUUUUAUGGGUGGUGGUGCAUGGCCGUUCUUAGUUCGUGGAGUGAUUUGUCUGCUUAAUUGCGUUAACGAACGAGACCUUGAUCUGCUAAAUAGAAGCGCCUAUCUUCGGAUAAGCGCCUUUCUUCUUAGAGAGACUGCAUGCGUUUCAGUAUGCGGAAGUUCGAGGCUAAAAC